GAUGAACGCUGGCGGCGUGCCUAAUACAUGCAAGUCGAGCGAACAGACGAGGAGCUUGCUCCUCUGACGUUAGCGGCGGACGGGUGAGUAACACGUGGAUAACCUACCUAUAAGACUGGGAUAACUUCGGGAAACCGGAGCUAAUACCGGAUAAUAUAUUGAACCGCAUGGUUCAAUAGUGAAAGACGGUUUUGCUGUCACUUAUAGAUGGAUCCGCGCCGCAUUAGCUAGUUGGUAAGGUAACGGCUUACCAAGGCAACGAUGCGUAGCCGACCUGAGAGGGUGAGCGGCCACACUGGAACUGAGACACGGUACAGACUCCUACGGGAGGCAGCAGUAGGGAAUCGUCCGCAAUGGGCGAAAGCUUGACGAAGCAAUGCCGCGUGAGAGAUGAAGGUCUUCGGAUCGUAAUACUCUGUUAUUAGGGACGAACAAAUGUGUAAGUAACUAUGCACGUCUUGACGGUACCUAAUCAGAAAGCCACGGCUAACUACGUG
This 497-nucleotide ribosomal RNA is filed under the name uncultured bacterium. Its description in RNAcentral is "partial 16S ribosomal RNA". It matches the Rfam family "Bacterial small subunit ribosomal RNA", at positions 28 to 507 of the family's 1533-position model. The record is from RNAcentral.